This 106-nucleotide small RNA is filed under the name Marmota monax (woodchuck). The record is from RNAcentral. Lineage: Eukaryota; Metazoa; Chordata; Mammalia; Rodentia; Sciuridae.
GCUGGGCAUGGUGGUCACACCUGUAACCCCAGAUACUCGGGAGGCUGAGGCAGGAGGAUCACAAGUUGGAGGCCAGCCUUUGCAACCUCGUGAGAUCUUGUCUCAA